GUGAAUCAUCAAAUUUUUGAACGCAAAUUGCACUCUCCUCUGAGAGUAUGCCUGUUUGAGGUUCAGCCUAUAAAAAAUCGACAUCGUUGCUGUUUCGCGGUGGCGUUCGUCGGAAAUUGCGUCAUCUUAAAUCUUUUGGGUUUAAGCGACUUACAAUUUUCUUUUUGUUUCCUUCAAGGUUUUACGCAUUUAUUUCUUUACACUUUAAAGG
RNAcentral lists this unclassified non-coding RNA (211 nucleotides) under Glomus sp. RNAcentral's name for it is "partial contains 5.8S ribosomal RNA and internal transcribed spacer 2". The stretch from base 1 to 65 matches the Rfam family "5.8S ribosomal RNA", at positions 84 to 154 of the family's 154-position model. Lineage: Eukaryota; Fungi; Glomeromycota; Glomeromycetes; Glomerales; Glomeraceae. The record is from RNAcentral.